Lates calcarifer (barramundi perch) is the source of this 1990-nucleotide long non-coding RNA. RefSeq lists it as uncharacterized. NCBI's taxonomy places the organism in Eukaryota, Metazoa, Chordata, Actinopteri, Centropomidae. The record is from RefSeq and is a predicted model, not a curated record. The transcript is spliced from 4 exons.
UCUCCUUUUCUUUCUCCCUCGGCCGCUCUCUUUCUCUCUCUGUCUUCCUCUCUCUCUCUCAAACAGACGCACAUACAGGGACUCCAAAAGCUCUACAGACACUCUUUGCCAAUUUAAUAAAGAAAGACUUUGUCAUGCGUAUCUCUCCCACAGCUUCCUGGCCAGAGUGACAACAGUGUGGGUGAGUGGAAAAACAGGAAGAGGACAGGCGGACUUUAGGCAGCUCUGGAAAAUCCUGACAUUGGCUGACCCACACCAUCUGUAGGCAGAGGCCUGACAGGUGUAUGACUGUUGGGGCAAAGAGUGGAUGACUCAGGAGCUCUGCACAGCAUUGUUGUGGAACCAACCUGUGAUACUGGAUAUUCACCUUACUACUUGGAGACCUCUGGCUGCUACUCUAUCAGCAAAACAAGAGUGGAACCUGAUAAAAACCCCACUGUAGUGUUAGGAGCUUAAGUGAAAACCCGCUUCACAACGUUCACAAACACAAUAUGCGCCACAAGGAGCUGUUAUUUCUAUAAAUAGCUCUGGCUUCACGCACAACAUUUUGGCUACUAUUACACAUCAACAAGCACAGGCAUCAGCCAUGAGCUGUGAGCUUGUCACAUGUGCCUGAGCAUAACACACAAACACAGCACAGAUUGUCUGCAUGUGUCAUAUGCUCGCACACAGAGACAUGCAUUCACACUCAUCCAUGUCAGUUAGAAUCAGUGGGUUUGGUCACUGUUUUCAACCCAACGUGAUACGUUUUCCUGUUUUCACUAGGAGGAUGUGGUUAGAUUUUUCUGUCGUGUGCUGAGCUGCUUCAGUAGACACAAGUAAUUUCUCGCCCACAAGCACUAAUAGCCCACUCAUGUACUGACUGAAACAAUGACAGCAAUAUUUACCAGAAACAACAUGAACAAUAGAUACACAUAAUCAUAGAGAGAGGGUCUUUAAAUAAUGGAGGAUAAGUGCAAUAACAACACAACAGCACAGGAGAAAUACUGACGAUGAAGCAACAAAAUAGCAACUGUAAGAAGUCAUCUUACGUGGUAUAAAAAUAUCAGAGAUUAUCAUGCUGAGUCUACCAGAUGGAGAGAUGGCCACCUAUGGCAGUGCAUGUCAGUGAGUCCCAAGGAGAAACAGUAAGGAGACAUGUCUGCAAAAAAGGUAAACAGGGCUGUGCUGCCCUCUGUUGGUCAACCUCUGUAAAUGGAAAAACCCUCAGUACAUGGCACAGUUCCUCAAAAUAAAAGUAUGAAUGAAUAAAUAAUAGCGUCAUUAAUUUAUAUGCAUGAACAAUUUUAAACUGACAUGCUAAUUUUGAUUCAGUAUAGUUAAAGAAUAAAUAUAUACCAGUCACAGCUUCAAAAUGUCAGAUCUGGCCAACCUACAUUUGUACGUUGUAUAUAAUGAGGCUGUAUGAAAAGGUCAGGCAAAUUAAGAAAGAAAAUAUUGUCUAAUUCAAAUGAUAAGUGAACAAAUAAAUAUGUUUAGCAACAGAGUGUGAACACAAGCGUAUAAACGGGAUGUAGUCACAAACUGUGGCUUAAAAGGCUGAUGUUGCAGAGUAAAACUAAACCAACUGUUGAAUUAUUAUAUAUUUAUUGAACAAUGUUAAGUAUGAUAGGGCUCUCCAUGUAGGAACUCUAAUAAUAUAGUAUAAAAAAUUAAAAAAGUACAAAUAACAAAGACAAGACAAGGCAUUGUAAACAACAUCCAGAAUAAGACAAAAGAAACUGAUUUCCUCAUGGCAGUAUUUUCAGAAUAAAUUUUUUUUUUUCCUUUCAUAAAACAUGUUUUUUCUCCCCAUAAUUAAUAUUGUUGUAACUGCAAAACUGUGCCUCAAACAGAGACGUUAAUCAGAAACAUUCCCAACUAUUGGGAUGAAUGUAGUGAUUUCUUUUCUUCCUUUAGGGUUUUCUUUCUUUUAGCAUAUCCAACACAAACCGUUGAAAAAGUCAAAAAUACAAGUCCAUAUAUUCAAUGAAAUACAAAAUAUGAAAUG